Molecule: microRNA precursor, 207 nt
Filed under: Oryza rufipogon (brownbeard rice)
Lineage: Eukaryota; Viridiplantae; Streptophyta; Magnoliopsida; Poales; Poaceae
Description: MIR812 microRNA precursor family
Rfam family: MIR812 microRNA precursor family
Source: Rfam by way of RNAcentral
AAAAAGACAAACCCUGGUUUCCGUGUCCAACGUUUGACCGUCCGUCUUAUUUGAAAAAAUUAUGAAAAAAAAUUAAAAAGACAAGUCACACAUAAAAUAUUAAUCAUGUUUUUAUCAUCUAACAACAAUGAAAAUACGAAUUAUAAAAAAAAUUUAUAUAAGACGGACAGUCAAAGUUGGACACGGAAACCUAGGGUUUGUCUUUUU